Molecule: non-coding RNA, 80 nt
Organism: Podarcis lilfordi (Lilford's wall lizard)
Lineage: Eukaryota; Metazoa; Chordata; Lepidosauria; Squamata; Lacertidae
Source: the annotation of a GenBank genome assembly
UGGAGUGAAAAGAGAAUUGCUCUUCAAACAUGUUGUCCCAUAUUACAAUAUAUAUGAAAAGCAAUUCUCUUUCCACUCCA